RNAcentral lists this microRNA (22 nucleotides) under Canis lupus familiaris (dog). Its description in RNAcentral is "Cfa-Novel-5_3p (mature (co-guide))". The record is from RNAcentral. Lineage: Eukaryota; Metazoa; Chordata; Mammalia; Carnivora; Canidae.
AGUUUUUCCUUGAUUCUCACAG